CAGCCCCCCAUCCAGGUAGAGCCCCAGCGCCGCCCCAGAGCUGAAGCCGAAGCGGUGGCGGAUGAGGCUGGCCAGUUUCAAGUCUUGGGUUCCGGUUUUCACAGUCUGCCUCUGCGGCCUCAUUGAUUACCAGCGUUACUUCCCUCCGUGCGCCUCCCCUUCUGACCUUCCUGCUGUCUCUCGCACGUGGUACUUGAGCUCCUGCUUUUGCACCUUCCUCAUGCACCAGCAUUUACUUCCUCCUCUCCACCUCUUGGAAUCCGUGAUUCCAGGCUGAACGCUGAAGUUCAGACUCUCAGCUGCGCUCAGACACUUAAGAGCUGGGGUGGAUGAGGGAUGGGGGUAUCGAUGAAGACAUUAGGCAGGAACGGGUGGGGUUCCUUUUCUCCAAAGCAGGCGUUCGGAGCGAAGGAAUUCGCCAAAGCCAGAGGUUAUGGUGGUAAAGAGCAUUAUUGUUUAAAAAAAAAAAUACACCAAGAGGGAGUCCCUUGGCCCGCAUAUCAUUCUCAAGGAAGAAGUGAUCUGCAAAAAGUCAUUUUUUGAAGACCAGUUUUAUGCAUGAAUCUAAAGGAAGUCCAAGUAAAGGUGAAAUCUUACCUGCGGUUGUGACUUUCACCUAGAAAGCUUAUCUUGCUCUGAGAGGAUGCAAGACCUUUUGGGUUUGUAGAUCAAAGGAGACAUUUUUUUGUAAUUUUACAUAAUUUUACAUGGCUCACUCAGGUCAUACAGAGUUAACUCUUGUUAGAGUGAUCUUGGCAUUUCACUUAACUGGUAAAAUGCAUGUAACGGUGCAAACUACUUUCUGUAAACUAAAAGGCAGGUGAUCAAGAGUUGCUAUUUUUCAUCCUCCUGAAAUGUCGGUAAGAGACCAAGGGGAUCCCCUUGUCUGGAAUUUGGCAGAUUGCUUGGAAUGGAUGCCACUGGUGCUGUUAAGUUGAUAAUCUUUCCAAAGCAGGUUGACUACAUCUUCGUGAAGGCGAGCUAACUAGUCCAUUGCCAAAGUUCUCCUUGUUCCUUGCCACCAAAAGAAAAGAGAAAAAAAUGAAGGUAAAGGCUGAACUUAUCCAUAGACACAUAUGUUACUCCUCAGUGAGAGUAGGCCACACUGUUUUGCCAAGAAUCAGAAGAAUCACUCUGGUUAAUCAAGGACAGUUAGAAGAAAUAUACCUUAUUCAGGAUUUUUUUUUUUAACAGCACCCAUUUUACCUUUCUGAAAGCAUGGUUAAUGGAAAUGUCAAUGAAUUACUUGAGAAAUACAAUAUUGUGUCAAAUAAUAGGCCAAUAUUUAGUGAAUUCCUACAGGACACCCACAUGCAUACCACUCUGCUAGGGGAACCUGAUAAGGUCAUUUGAACCAACUACUCUCUACCCUUGAGGCAUGUGGAGUGAUUACUUUGAUUUACUUUCAGACAAGGAGUGUAUAGAUUUAACUUCAUGUUCCCUCCAUACUUACUGUGAAUAAUUAUUUUGGCCCAAAUAGA
Long non-coding RNA from Sarcophilus harrisii (Tasmanian devil), 1481 nucleotides. RefSeq lists it as uncharacterized. The transcript has 2 exons. NCBI's taxonomy places the organism in Eukaryota, Metazoa, Chordata, Mammalia, Dasyuromorphia, Dasyuridae. The record is from RefSeq and is a predicted model, not a curated record.